This 2748-nucleotide long non-coding RNA is filed under the name Canis lupus familiaris (dog). Its description in RNAcentral is "lncRNA (ENSCAFG00040023799.1)". Lineage: Eukaryota; Metazoa; Chordata; Mammalia; Carnivora; Canidae. The record is from RNAcentral.
AUGGGGUGGGCCGCCCAGGGGCCAGGGCCCCUGCUUGGAGAAGAGGCCACAGCCCCUUCCCUGCCGCUCCCGCCCCUGGCUCCCUCCUCCCCGGCCCCGCCCAGCCCCACCGGGAGAGACGGGCGGACCCAGGGCCCAACAGGCGCAGAGCGGCUCCACCCGAUCCCUGAAGGGUUGGUCUCUGGACCCGAGGGCUGUGGAACCUCUGGACUGCUGGCACGCCGGGGGCUGCUGCGGGAGGCCAGGGAGGGACGCUGUCCCACGGACACUGAGGCCUCGGUGGACCCCAUGCCGGGUGCCGGGAAUAUCCACAUGAAGGCAGAAGCCCACGCAGCAGGGACUGCUCACCCCGCCCUCCUGCCCCACAGCCCGAGGGUCCCCGGGGCUCGGCCUGCGGAAGCCCGUCCAGCUUCUGACCAGGGGCCCGCGCCCAACUCCAGCGAGCGUUGCUGAAGCACGUGGCCAUCGUGUGGUGUCACGGGCCGUGUGGCUGCGCCCCAGGACUGAGCGUGCACCCCUGAAGCACGGCGGCUGGCUCAGGGGUGAGCCCCCUGGAGGGAGGGCCGGGCCCGCUCAGCCGGGUGGUGGCGGGGGGCACACAGCUCUCUGGGAGGAAGAAGGAUGGGGGGUUGGCGGGCUCACUGUGUAGUGGGACACUUCCCUCGUCUUGGGUGUGUUGUCUGAUGACAGCUCUGUUGGCGCGGCUCACACACCCUGUGUUCACCCGUUAGCGUGCGCAAUGAAGCCAUUUUCACUGUAUUUGCAGAGUUGUGCAGCCAUCAUGUGCCCGUCAGUCUGAAACCUGGUGCCGUACCCACUGCUCCGCACCCCCUCCUCGGCCGGAGGCAGCCACCGAGCCACUUGUUGUCUUAGGAGUUGCUUACUCUGGACAGCUCGUGGAAGCAAAGCUGCAGCAUGCGACCUCUUACGUCUGCCUUCUUUCCCUCAGCAUGAUUUCCAGAUUCAUCCGUGUCGUAGCUCUGUCAGCGCGUUGUUCCUUUUAAUGGUUGAAUAAUAUUCCUUUGUACAGAUUUUAUUUCUUUACUCAUCGUGUGUUAGACAUUUGUGUUGCUUCUACUUUUUGGCCACUUUGAAUAAAGCUGCUAUGGACAUGUGUGUAUGAAUUUUCCUGUGGUUGCAUGUUUUCAUUUCUCUUGGACAUGCACCCAUGAGUGGAAUUGCUGGGUCACAGGGUUAGUCUGUUAGUUUUUUGAGGAACUGUACUAUUUUGGGUUCCCAUGAGCAGUGUAGAAAGGUUCAUCUGGCUUUUUAAUUAUUCUUAUUCUCUGGAGACUAAAGUCAUCCAUCCAUCACCCACCCCUCAUCCAUCCAUCCACCUAUCCAUCCAUUCAUUUGUCCAUCCAUCCAUCCAUGCACCCACCUAUCUACCCACCCAUCUAUCCACUUACCCACCAAACCAUCCAUCCAUCCAUCCAUCCAUCCAUCCAUCCAUCCAUAGAUCAAUCUGUGUAUCUAUCUAUCUAUCUAUCUAUCUAUCUAUCUAUCUUCCAUCCAUUCAUCCACCACCUAUCUCUACUUAUCCAAUCACUCACUCAUCCAUCCAUUCAUCCAUCCAUCCGCCCUCCACCUAUCAAUUCACCAUCCAUCCAUCAUCCAUGAGUUCCCUGAGCACCUUCUGAAACCCAGGCCUAGGCAAAUGAGCUGUGGAAUUCAGUGGGGUCGUGGCUCUCUGCCCUCCAAAUCCCAGGAGGGUCUUUAGGCUCGGAAGCACGGUGACGGGCACAUGCACCCACAUCCAGGGGUCGGUGUCUUCCUGCAGCUUUUCUUGCUUUUAAAAAAAGAAUGUGCAGAGGAUGAGCCAUGUAAUUUCAGGCCCUGGUUGAUGCUCUAGUUCAGCCACUGCUGUCCCCGCCAGGGCUUCCCCAUCCUGCAGAGCCCCCAUCCAGGCCAGCCUAUCCCAGAAGCCUUCUAGGCCAGCAGCUUAUGAAACUUAAAUGUAUGCUUGAGUGGCCCACAGGAUUGGGGGGCACUGAGAUUCCGCAUUUCCCACAAGCCCCCGGGGGGCCAGUGCUGCAGGACACUAGGGAACAGACCCAGAGCUCUCCGCGUGUCCUCCUGGCCGUCCGCACCUGGAGAUGCCCCGUACUUGAUGAGGUCCUAUUGGUGCGGGUGGACGUUUCUCUCAUCAGACGAACCUCCCCUCCCACACACCCUGCAGCUGGAAGCCCAGCUGUUCUGUCGCAGGUGUCCACAGCUUGACCGGAAGUGACUGCAGCCACAGGCCUGGUGGGAGGAGCUCGGGGGGCCGUGGAAGGACCGUCCUAGCAUGGGAGUCACCCAUGGUCCUGUGAGCCGCGGGGGUCAGGGGCUCCUAGUCUCUCAGGGGAGGACCCAGGAAAGGCAGCUGCUGCCCACAGGUAUUCCCCACAGGAGGGGCAGCCCCAGGGUGUGGCGCACGUGCCAGCGUGGGCCCUGCUGAAGUGUGUGCCCCUGUGGGCAGCUGGAGCAGCAAUGCUCCUGCCAGCAGCCAGUGGCCAGCAGGGCGGAGGAGGGUGGACGCAUGUCGGUAAUCCCCGUUGUCCCCGGGAAACUGGUCCUCACUUAAUACCUCUUGCUCCGCUGGGGCCACACCCACCUGACCGAACCACAAAUAGCACCGGACACGAAUCGAAUCAGAGGCUUUAUCUUUGGAAAUUAAUCCAGCUCAGAGCAGGAUUAACCAGGACAUCCCUGCAGACAAUGGUGCCCAAGGUCAGGGGAGCCCUGGUUUCCUUGUAUUUCCUCAGC